UACGAAGGGUGCAAGCGUUACUCGGAAUUACUGGGCGUAAAGCGUGCGUAGGUGGUGAGUUAAGUCUGUCGUGAAAGCCCCGGGCUCAACCUGGGAAUGGCGAUGGAUACUGGCUCGCUAGAGUGCGGUAGAGGAGAGUGGAAUUCCCGGUGUAGCAGUGAAAUGCGUAGAGAUCGGGAGGAACAUCAGUUGCGAAGGCGGCUCUCUGGACCAGCACUGACAC
Molecule: ribosomal RNA, 223 nt
Filed under: uncultured bacterium
Lineage: Bacteria
Description: partial 16S ribosomal RNA
Rfam family: Bacterial small subunit ribosomal RNA
Source: RNAcentral